GAUGAACGCUGGCGGCGUGCUUAACACAUGCAAGUCGAACGAGAAAUGGAGACGGAAACCUUCGGGCGGAAGGCUUCAUUUCGAGUGGCGGACGGGUGAGUAACGCGUGGGUAACCUGCCUCAUACAGGGGGAUAACAGUUGGAAACGACUGUUAAUACCGCAUAAGACCACAGCACCGCAUGGUGCGGGGGUAAAAACUCCGGUGGCAUGAGAUGGACCCGCGUUCGAUUAGCCAGUUGGCGGGGUAACGGCCCACCAAAGCGACGAUCGAUAGCCGAUCUGAGAGGAUGACCGGCCACAUUGGGACUGAGACACGGCCCAAACUCCUACGGGAGGCAGCAGUGGGGAAUAUUGCACAAUGGGGGAAACCCUGAUGCAGCGACGCCGCGUGAGUGAAGAAGUACUUCGGUAUGUAAAGCUCUAUCAGCAGGGAAGAAAAUGACGGUACCUGAGUAAGAAGCCCCGGCUAACUACGUG
Molecule: ribosomal RNA, 478 nt
Filed under: uncultured bacterium
Lineage: Bacteria
Description: partial 16S ribosomal RNA
Rfam family: Bacterial small subunit ribosomal RNA
Source: RNAcentral